RNAcentral lists this small nuclear RNA (24 nucleotides) under Arabidopsis thaliana (thale cress). RNAcentral describes it as "snRNA_11356". The record is from RNAcentral. Lineage: Eukaryota; Viridiplantae; Streptophyta; Magnoliopsida; Brassicales; Brassicaceae.
UUUUUUUUUUUUUUUUUUGAGAGA